GACGAACGCUGGCGGCGUGCUUAACACAUGCAAGUCGAACGGAAAGGCCCUUCGGGGUACUCGAGUGGCGAACGGGUGAGUAACACGUGGGUGAUCUGCCCUGCACUUUGGGAUAAGCCUGGGAAACUGGGUCUAAUACCGAAUAGGACCACGCGCUUCAUGGUGUGUGGUGGAAAGCUUUUGCGGUGUGGGAUGGGCCCGCGGCCUAUCAGCUUGUUGGUGGGGUAAUGGCCUACCAAGGCGACGACGGGUAGCCGGCCUGAGAGGGUGACCGGCCACACUGGGACUGAGAUACGGCCCAGACUCCUACGGGAGGCAGCAGUGGGGAAUAUUGCACAAUGGGCGCAAGCCUGAUGCAGCGACGCCGCGUGAGGGAUGACGGCCUUCGGGUUGUAAACCUCUUUCAAUAGGGACGAAGCGCAAGUGACGGUACCUAUAGAAGAAGCACCGGUCAACUACGUG
This 462-nucleotide ribosomal RNA is filed under the name uncultured bacterium. RNAcentral describes it as "partial 16S ribosomal RNA". It matches the Rfam family "Bacterial small subunit ribosomal RNA", at positions 28 to 507 of the family's 1533-position model. The record is from RNAcentral.